CCUACGGGAGGCAGCAGUGGGGAAUAUUGGGCAAUGGGCGCAAGCCUGACCCAGCAACGCCGCGUGAAGGAAGAAGGCUUUCGGGUUGUAAACUUCUUUUAAGAGGGAAGAGUAGAAGACGGUACCUCUUGAAUAAGCCACGGCUAACUACGUGCCAGCAGCCGCGGUAAUACGUAGGUGGCAAGCGUUGUCCGGAUUUACUGGGGGUAAAGGGCGUGUAGCCGGGCCGGCAAGUCAGAUGUGAAAGCCCAAGGCUCAACCUUGGAACUGCAUUUGAAACUGUUGGUCUUGAGUAUCGGAGAGGCAGGCGGAAUUCCUAGUGUAGCGGUGAAAUGCGUAGAUAUUAGGAGGAACACCAGUGGCGAAGGCGGCCUGCUGGACGACAACUGACGGUGAGGCGCGAAAGCGUGGGGAGCAAACAGGAUUAGAUACCCGUGUAGUC
This 442-nucleotide ribosomal RNA is filed under the name uncultured bacterium. RNAcentral describes it as "partial 16S ribosomal RNA". It matches the Rfam family "Bacterial small subunit ribosomal RNA", at positions 338 to 795 of the family's 1533-position model. The record is from RNAcentral.